UGAGGAAUAUUGGUCAAUGGGCGAGAGCCUGAACCAGCCAAGUAGCGUGCAGGAUGACGGCCCUAUGGGUUGUAAACUGCUUUUAUAUGGGAAUAAAGUGAGGUACGUGUCCCUUAUUGCAUGUACCAUACGAAUAAGGACCGGCUAAUUCCGUGCCAGCAGCCGCGGUAAUACGGAAGGUCCAGGCGUUAUCCGGAUUUAUUGGGUUUAAAGGGAGCGUAGGCUGUUUGUUAUGCGUGUUGUGAAAUGUAAGAGCUCAACUUUUAGAUUGCAGCGCGAACUGGCAGACUUGAGUGCGCACAACGUAGGCGGAAUUCAUGGUGUAGCGGUGAAAUGCUUAGAUAUCAUGACGAACUCCGAUUGCGAAGGCAGCUUACGGGAGCGCAACUGACGCUAAAGCUCGAAGGUGCGGGUAUCGAACAGG
This 424-nucleotide ribosomal RNA is filed under the name Verrucomicrobiota bacterium. RNAcentral describes it as "Verrucomicrobia bacterium partial 16S ribosomal RNA". It matches the Rfam family "Bacterial small subunit ribosomal RNA", at positions 355 to 776 of the family's 1533-position model. The record is from RNAcentral. Lineage: Bacteria; Pseudomonadati; Verrucomicrobiota.